RNAcentral lists this unclassified non-coding RNA (19397 nucleotides) under Anthonomus grandis grandis. Its description in RNAcentral is "importin subunit beta-1". The record is from RNAcentral. Lineage: Eukaryota; Metazoa; Arthropoda; Insecta; Coleoptera; Curculionidae.
UUGUCAAUCAACCAUUUUUUUAACGGUAACGAAACCUCCGCGUUGGCAAUUAGUACCAUUUUCCAUUUAUUUAUUAAACCGAAAUUAUUCCUCGAUAUAUACGUAAAAGUGCGAUUCUUAUUAAUUUUACCGAAGAUUUUCCCGUUGUGCCGUGAAACUUAUACAAAAGCGUUUAAAUAAAAAAAAUCGGAUUUGAAAGGCCCGACCUGUCAAAUUCAGCGUAGGAAUAUCCAGUACGAUUCAUUCCCGCAAAAGAUUAAUCUAGUCGAGUUGAAUCAUUUUACAUGUGGUGUUCGCGGUGUUCGCCGGCAUUUUUCCAUUAAAUCGCUAAAAAAACACCCAGUUACAGUCGAUUAAAUAGUGAAACGAUGGAGCCAGACACCCUUCAGUUGAUAGAAGUGCUAGAAAAAACAGUUUCUCCUGAUCAAAACGACCAGAAACAAGCGUCCACCUUCCUAGAUCAGGCCGCAGCCACAAAUCUACUGGGCUUCAUAAAAACCCUCUCGGACAUCCUGAGACAUGGCGGUAACAGCCAUGUCGCCCGGAUGGCCGCGGGUUUACAGCUCAAAAACCAACUUACCGCUAAAGAUCAAACCGUCAAAGUCCAGUAUCAGCAACGAUGGAUCGCUUUUCCCGAAGAUAUUCGCAACUAUAUUAAGAAGAAUGUUGUGGGAGCUUUGGGAACUGAAACGAACAGACCCUCUUCGGCCGCCCAAUGUGUCGCUUAUAUAGCGGUCGCGGAAUUGCCGCAACAACAAUGGCCGGACCUUAUUUCCACUUUGGUCAGUAAUGUGGUGAAUGCCACCUCGGAGAUGCAAAAGGAGGCCACUUUAGAGGCGAUUGGUUACAUAUGCUCUGAAAUCGAUUCGGAUGUCCUGGUGUCUCAAUCGAAUGACAUUCUCACGGCCAUAGUUAGCGGGAUAAGGGUGGCGGAGCAGAGUAACCACGUUAGGUUGGCCGCAACAAGAGCCCUUCUUAAUUCCCUUGAGUUUACUAAGGCCAAUUUCGAUCAUCCGGCUGAAAGGAAUUAUAUUAUGGAGUGUAUUUGUGAGGCCACACAGUCUACAGAUACCGCGAUUAAGGUAACCGCUCUCGAAUGUCUAGUGAAAAUCAUGUCACUCUACUACCAACACAUGGAGCCAUACAUGGGACCCGCUUUGUUUCCUAUUACUUUAGAAGCUAUGAAGUCCGAUAAUGAUGCUGUGGCUCUACAGGGUAUUGAGUUUUGGUCUAAUGUGAGCGACGAAGAGGUAGAUUUGGCCAUAGAGGACACAGAAGCUCAGGAAGCCGGCAGGCCGCCUUCCAGAGUUUCUUGUCAUUAUGCCAAAGGGGCCCUGCAUUACAUUGUACCGAUUCUUUUGCAAAAACUGACAAAACAAGAGGAGUUAGACGAUGAGGAUGAUUGGAAUCCCACUAAGGCGGCCGGGGUUUGUCUCAUGUUGCUCGCCAGUUGCUGCGAAGACGAAAUUGUGCCUCACGUGUUACCAUUUAUUAAAGACAAUAUUAAAUCGGACAAUUGGAGACUGAGGGACGCGUCACUGAUGGCCUUCGGUUCGAUCCUGGGCGGCCUCGAUAAUCCCACACUGAAACCGUUAGUGGAGCAAGCGAUGCCCACUUUGAUCGAACUGAUGUACGACAGCAGCGUCACUGUGCGAGAUACGGCCGCUUGGACCUUCGGUAGAAUCUGCGAGAUCAUUCCAGAGGCGGCUAUAAACGAGGCCUUCCUCAAACCGUUACUGGAGAGUUUAAUAAACGGACUGAAAGCGGAACCGAGGGUCGCUGCGAACGUUUGUUGGGCAUUUUCCGGUUUGGCGGAAGCCGCAUACGAAGCGGCCGCAUGCGAGAUCGCUGGUGGUGAUGAUACUAAUCCGGAAACCUACUGUUUGUCGCAAUAUUUCGAGUUUAUUGUGCAGAGACUGUUAGAGGUGACAGAUCGACCGGAUGGGGCGCAGCACAACCUGAGACCGGCUGCCUACGAGGCCCUCAUGGAAAUGAUCAAGAAUUCCCCGAGGGAUUGCUACGUUACUGUGCAAAAAACCACCAUGGUCAUUUUGGAACGGUUACAACAAGUGCUCCAGAUGGAAUCGCACAUCAGCAGUCACAGCGAUCGGUCCCAAUUUAACGAUCUGCAAUCGCUACUGUGCGGCACGUUACAGUCGGUACUGAGGAAAGUUACGCCUGAAGAUGCACCGCAGAUUUCCGAUGCGGUUAUGACGGCCCUACUGACCAUGUUUAACUCGAACAAGAGCGGUGGAGUCCAGGAAGAUGCGAUUAUGGCUGUGUCUACUCUAGUGGAGGUGCUCGGCGAAGGUUUCCUCAAAUACAUGGACGCCUUCAAGCCCUAUUUAUAUUUAGGCCUGAAGAACCAUCAGGAGUACCAAGUUUGCGGUACCGCCGUAGGUCUUACCGGGGACAUAUUUAGGGCCUUAAAACUGAAGGCUUUGCCGUAUUGCGACGAGAUUAUGGCCCUGCUGUUGGAGAAUUUGGGCGAGCCUACGGUACAUCGGAACGUGAAACCGCAAAUUUUAUCGGUGUUCGGCGAUAUGGCUUUGAGCAUCGGGGGUGAGUUUAAGAAGUAUUUGGAAGUCGUGCUGGCUACGUUGGCGCAGGCGUCACAAGCACAAGUUGACCGUACCGAUUUCGACAUGAUCGACUACCUAAACGAGCUGAGAGAGGGCGUCCUGGACGCCUACACUGGCAUCAUCCAGGGUCUAAAGGGCGACGCGUCGAAUCCCUCGCCCGACGUCAAUCUACUCGAACGUCACAUCCCGUUCAUCGUUCAAUUUAUUACCGCGGUCGCACAAGACGCCGAUCAUUCGGACGGCACCAUUGCCGUGGCAGCUGGUAUUGUAGGAGAUCUAUGUUCGACGUUCGGUCCGCCGAUGUUGCCGUUGCUAGAGUUGCCCGCGAUCCAGGAGAUGCUGGCCCAGGGCAGAAGAUCGAGGAUAUCGCGUACGAAAACUUUGGCCACGUGGGCCACGAAGGAAAUGAAGAAGUUGAAGGUGCUUAAUCAGCCGACGGCGCCUGCUGCCAGCUGAUUUAUGACGUACCAGUCAGACUAUCUUACGACCAACGCGAACACACCCGAAAUCGGCCCGGUAAUCUUGGGAUACGGAAGGUACAACCUGGGCAACUAACACCGGAACCGCAAUCAAAAUUUUCAAUUAUCGAAAGUGUCUCGCGAAUGGACCGCAGUUUAGCAAACAAACAUAAUAAUAAUAAUUUGUUUCUUUUAAUUAUUUUAAUUUCGAUCUCGCUCGCUCCCUCUCGUGGGGUAGUCUGAGUAUGGGUCGGGGUCGUCUUUUUAGUUAUAUCAUUUGUUAGUUGGGGGCAAAAAAAAAAUAACAGGGAAAAAAAUUGCGCGUUUUGAAUGAUGCAAAUGCGAGGAAAUUUUAUUAUGUUAAUCAAAGUUUUAUGUAAAUAUGAAUAAUAUUAUAAAGGAAAUGAAACGCGCAGUUUUUAUCGUUUUGUAUCGAACACUUUUAGCCACGUAAUUCGAAAUUGCUACGGGGUAAGUAACAUUGAUGUUUAAUUAUUAUUUUUUUAUUAUUAUUGAUUCAGUCAACGGAUGAAUUAUAAUAUAUUUUUUUUGUUAAAACUUGUAUGUCUACACUGUCUACUCGAUAUGUUGCUUAAAAAAAUAUAGUGUAAUAUCAUGUGGUGGUUGUUCAAUCGAAACGAUAUGUAGUUUAGUGUUUGUUCAGAGGCCCCCGCUUCACGCAUUAAUUUUAUUUGUUUUUAAUUCGUGUGCAGAAGGGGGUUUUGUCCUUAUUAUGGUAAAUGGGUUAAAAAAGGACAGAAUUGGCGCAUAAAUAAUUAAGAAAUGGCACGGAUCAAGUUGGAAAUUUGUGUGAUUAUCGUCCAAUGUUAUUACAGAACAGUCAUAUUUGAGGGGUUCAAAGCUGAGUGUGGGCCAUGAAAAUUGUCAAAAAAUGAGAUUUUUUUUGGUAAUGUUGCAAAAUAUCUAGAGGUCAAGAACCAAGGCAGAUACAGUAAUGAAAUUCCGUGUAGAGGUUCUUCAUUUAAUUUCAUGAGACACCUUUUUCAGGAUUUUUCUGGGAAAUAUACUGGAAGUUGUAAAAAUAAAAUUUUAAAGGUGGCUAUUUUUUUUUUCUAAAGAAGUGGCAAAGUGUCUAUAACUCGAGAACUAUGAGAGUUACAAUCAUGAAAUUUGGUAUAGAGGCUCUUUAUUUAAUUUCAUUAGACACCUAUUUCAGGAUUUUUCUGGAAAACAUCUUAAAAGUUGUAAACAAAAUUUUUUUAGGGUGUGUAAUUUUUUUCUCUUAAAAAAAUGGCAAAGUGUCAUAACUGGAGAACCAUGACAGUGAGAUUCAUGAAAUUUGGUAUAGAGGCUCUUCAUUUAAUUUCAUUAGACACCUAUUUUAGGAUUUUUCCAGAAAAAGAUCCUAAAAGAUGUAAAAAUUUUUUUUUAAUGGUGGCUAUUUUUUUUUUUUUUUCAUUAAAAAAUAUCGUCUGUGAGCCUGCAAUUUCUCCUAACUAAAUUUUACCCGAUUUUUCACAAGAGCCAAAAAACUGAUAUUGUGUUAGUUUGUUAAAACUCUCCAAAUUUUUGCUGCUCACAUUGUUUUUAUAAAAGGGUUUUUUGAGUAAUUUAUUUUAACUUUGAUAAAAAGUUUUUAUUUUAAGAUAGGAUUUAUUGAUAUGAAAAAACAGACAGAUAGGGUAAUUUGAAACAAAAGAAUAAAGGGGAUAAAAUAAAAUUACUCUUUUAAAAAUGAAAAGUUUUAUUUCAAAAAUAACUAAGUGAACCAAAAAAUAUUGGAUGGCAUUAUAGACUACUUCUUCUACAUUAAAAAAUAUUGUGCUUUUAAUAACGAAACUCAAAAAACAAACUUAUAAAUAUCAGACCUAUAAAUGAGCGAAACUAUCAUAAAAGUGAUGGACAUCUCAUGGCAAAGCACUUUUUAACUUUUGCAAGUGUUUAAAUUUACUUACAGGAAUUUUACAUUGUUGAGUAUGCAUCUUGGGAUAUUCCAUUAUUACCUCAAGAUUUUUCGGCCUCACCGGCAACGUUUGCCAUUUACCAUCAAAAACUGUUUUAAUCUGAAUUAGAUUAUCGUAUUUUAUGCACUUUAUGUCCGUAACUUUAGGAUUAUCUGCAGAUUUUCCUGGGCGUAUGGAAGAAUACCUUAAAUGGCCUGCUAGCAAAUAGUUUCUAAAAAAACAAAAAUACAACUCGACCGCUUCGUAGGGUCUAGGAUUAUGUCGUGCUUCUCUAGUAACCGACAAAUAAUCGCUAGGAAGAUGAAUUUUCUCGAUUUUGCAGUUUUCGUUCUAUUGUAGAGUGGACUCCAUGUAGGGAUGUCCGGACUCUAAAAAUUUUUGGUAAAUGGUCACUCCAAAUUUAAUAGAAAAGUUUAAAAGAGCAUUCGCCAUUAUGUUGUUUCUAUUUUGAUACGUUCGAAUAAAUAAUGAUGGGAACGCUUGUUAAAACACAUUUUUUUUCUAAAUAGUCCAACAAGCAUGAAACAAAAGUAGACGCUUUCAACUCGCUGUUUUGGUCUUCAGAAAACCAAUAGCAACACGCAUCAUGCGUUUUCAUGUUAUAAAUAGUAAAAUUAUGGCAACAUAAUUUUGUCUUAUAGUAAAGAGCAUUGGCCUGCAAGUAUGGAGAUAAUUUGACUGCUUGCAGAUCCAUUGAAAUUAAGAUACAAUUAUCUAAAAGUGCCUCGCUUUUAUCUUUCAGUUUUUCCUCCCGUGCACGAUCUUUCCUGCGAAUAUGCUCUUGAUAGUCACUUUCUGCUAGAUUUCCUUUCUCAUAAGAGGUACAAACGUUACAUUUAUCUUUUUUUAAAGUAUAUAUAGAUAAAUUUAAUUCCUUAAAUCUCCUCGGUAAAGUAUUUCCUGGUGAUUGAUGGUAAUUUUUUUUCUGAGCAAAACUCUUGAUAAACCUUAAAAAGUUCAAGUUUUGUUUUAAAUACCUCCGAAAACAGCUUUUUUGAAUUUUUUCUAUUAUAGUGAGAGGGUAGCUUAGGUAAGGAAUUUAAAAACGUAUCAACGUGCUGUAUACUUGAAGUGUUGCGUAAAGCAAUUUCUCGCUUUUUAGUUAUUUUACGGCCUUCAUCCUGAUGCAUGCCUGAUUCACUACUGUUCACCCAGUCUUGGACUGUUUUGUAUCCAAGAGCAAGGGUGUUUAGAAACAUUGUGCGACAUUUUUUAUUGUCAACAUUUAGGUAAUACACAAAAGUCCUCUGUCGUUGUCUUGAGUUUUCUUGCGUUUUACGUUUCACGGAAAUUUUUUCGACAGUUGAAGCAACGUAAACCUUUUUCUGAUCCCACGACAUUUCGCUCCAAAAGUAAUUAAAAAUUAUUUCUCUCUGAGCUUCCGUAAUUUGAAAACAUUUUCUUACUUUUGACUUUCUACAGAAAUUUGAAUUACAUCCACCUUUUAGUUUUCUUUCUCUUCUGUUUAUAUUUUGCUGAUAUUUUCCAUUCUCUCUUCAUAUCAACGUCCGAGUCAACGUCUGUCUGGACGCCUAAGAGUGAAACGUUCUCAACGUCAACGUAAAUAAACUUAUUUUAUUUUGUCUAACUGACCUUCGUUAUGUUUCCCAACAGUCUCAACUUCUUGGCAGAUUUGUAUUAGUAAAUUUGUAUUAAUAAUUUGUAUUAGUAUAGUAAACUCGCAGCAGAAACACUUUCAUCAGAUGUUGAUGAUAUAUCUGAAGGUACGUAAUCGUCACCUGCAUUGUCAGAACUGCAAUUUGUGGCUUUAGAGAAAUCACGACUGUUAUCAGGCGGUUAUAAAGCUCAAAGCAAAAGAACAUUUUAACUAUUGCAGAGGUACCUAUCUUCCACAACCGGAUCUGUGAAUAUGUCGGAAUAACUGUUUUGCAGCACAUCAUCAGUUAUUUGUGCGAAAUCUUCAUAAUAAGGCCCGGAACUGUUUAAAAGCAUUUUAUCGGUAUCUAAAAAGUCAUGAAAAAUUUAUUAAAGAGUUUAUAGUAAUUUUAAUUAUUUUCAAAUAUUUUUCUUAGAUUGUUCCGAUUUUUUUGCCGACAACUGUACUACUUACCAAGCACAACGACACUACUUUGUGGGUUUUCCACUAUAUUUAUUCCUACAACAACAAAAAAUAUUUUAAUUACUUUUGUAUAUAAAUUUUCCUAAUAUUGAACCUUUACAACUAAUAGUUCCUAUUUUUAUUAAAAAAACACUUUUGCACAAGUAACUAUUAUCACAAACUAGAAAAAUGAAGCUGAAAUCUGCCGACAACAAGUUCUUGCUCGAAAGCGUGGAUAAACACUGCAGUUAGGAGAAAUUGCGUUCAAAAAACGUGCCAAUUCAUUAGGAGAUAUUGCCACAAGGCAAUUUUACGCGCGAAAAAAUUUUUGACAGUCGAGUUCAUGCGCAGUAACGUAAAGACUGUUGGGUUGCCUAAAAGUCAUUUUUGCUGAAAAUGCUAGUUAGGAGAUAUUGCAGGCUCACGGACGAUAUGGCAAAGUGUCAUAACUCAAAAACCAUGAUAGUUAGGUUCAUGAAAUUUGGUGUAGAGGUUCUUCAUUUAAUUUCAUUAGACACCUAUUUCAGGAUUGUGCUGGAAAAUACUUUAAAGUCUGAUAAAAUACUUUUUUUGAGACACUGGAUUAAUAUUUUAGUACUGGAUGAAUAAUUUAGCAAAAUUGGUAUGUGGAAUUUUGCCAGUGGUGCUGGCUACUGCUCGUUCAGAUUUUUUGUCUAAAAAUACCUGGAAAAAUUACUUUUUACAAAUGUCAUUUAUUCCAACCUCCGAAUGCCUGUCAAAAUAAUCAAAUUUGUUAUUUCUUCCAGGAAUUUGGAGUACAAGUUAAAGAACUAUGAAAUUUUGCAUUUUUUUCAGGCAUUUAGAAUAAAAAAAUUGAUAAUAUUCAAAUUCCUGUUUUCCAUUUGAAUCAGAUUACUGAAAAAAAAAAAUUGAAAUUUCCUAUAUCUUCCAGGCACUUGAAGUAAACAUUAAUUUAGGCAAAAUCGUCAAAUUUGUCAUUUACUCCAGGAAUUCGGAGCGAGAGUUUGAAAAUAUUCAAGUUCCAUUUAGUUUUCAUUCAAUUUAUUGUACUAAAAAAAAUUCUUUUUUGUCCAGGCAAAAAUUACCUAAAUACUAAAACCUUGAGAAAACCAAAAAUACCUGGAAAAAAUGCAACGUUAAACAUAGUAACAUUGAAUUAGAUCCAUUAUUGUCCAAAAACUGUAUACAGUUGACACAAUUUCUUUUAAAGGGUAAAUAAAAUUUACGAACUUGCUCCACUUUAGCUUUGAGCCUCUCAUUUAUCGGAAUUAUCUGCGACUCCUUGUAAACUAUUUAAUAAAUGUGUUUUGGAUGCUUUUGGACACCCCUUAUACACAAUUUCAUAUAUAUAAUACUAAUAUUUAAGGCAUAAUUAUAUAGUUGCCAAGAGUCACAGUAAAAGCGAGUUUUUGCCCAGAAACUCUCUUUUUUUUUUUAAUUGAAAAAUCACAAAACUAUAAAGCACUCAGUCAGUCAAACGUCCUUUUCUAACCCAUACCAGUUUAAUUAAAUUAAAAACCAAAAAAAAAACUGAAAAAAAAAGAAAUCAUUACUACUAUAAUAUACAUCGGAACCAAACGGAUUCCAUUGGAUUAAAUUCAUUGAAUAAACGCUCAGGUAAAUUUGCAUUGUUGCAUGUUGAUGAUGAUGGCUGGUAUAAAGUGGAGGAGAGAGAUUUUCUGCUUGGUAUGUUUAUUAUGGAUGGGUAAGUCGUUAUCGGUGGUGAAUAAUAGUGAUCGGUAAGGAUUUGUGAUGAACGUUUUUUGUUGUUGUUGUUGAUAGGAGGACGGACGCUCCGCGUUGUGCCUUGUCCGGGUGAUGAUGAUGAUGUUGUUUCAGGUGGGUGGGUGGGUGUUUGAUUUAUUUUUUAUUAAUGUGAAGGUUGGGGGUAAGAAAGUUAUUAAAUUGAAGGUUUAAAUGCCAUAGCCAUAUAGAACUUACACUUGGAAUGCCUGGAAUAUUUUUUUAUAUUUAUUCUUUUUAAAGGAACUUUUAGUUUCUUCUAAGAAAACCGUGCAAUUUAAGUGAUUUAACUCAUUCAUACUCUUAUUUGUAACCAGAACAGAACACUUUUCUUUGCACAGGCUUUUCUAUGAGGCAAUUGACAAUUAUGUGUUACACUUGUUUUUUGAAAGUCAAAAUAGUUUUAGAAAAUUAUUCUUAUGGAAAAAUUGUUUACUUCGAACUUUUUAAAAACAUAAAUUUUGUUAAAUGAAAUGUUUCGCAAUAGGUUUCGUCAAUGCAGUGAUAGAUUUAUGAGUUUUUUAGCUUAAAAAUUGAUUUUCUACAUAGCAUGAUCGAUCGUUUCUAAAAUAAUAUUUUUUUUUAAGAUUCUUCACUAUAUACUGUGAUAGUUCUUCCAGGCAAUUCAGACUCUUGGAGUGCCUGGAAUAAUUAAUUAUUAGCUUGUUUUGCCACUGUGUCCCCGACAUAGUGCCUGAAAUCUUCGAAGUACUCUGAUUCUCCUUCCAGGCAAUUGAGACAUUUGAUAUGCCUGGAAUAUUAUGUGCUCUAACAGUUCUUCUAAGCAAUCGAUCCACUUAAAGUUCUUGAAAUACUUUUAUAAGUACUAUGAUAAUUCUUCCAUACGACGAAGAAACUACAGCAUUAAUAGCAAUCGCUAGUGGUUGUAUAGUAAUUGCAUUUCAAGCCUAUUUUCAUCUAGCUUUUUGUCCUUCUUAAAAUAAUCUCUAUUUGUUGGAUCCCAUAAAUUUGGAAAUCCCCUAUACAAAUCGAUUAAAUCAAGUUGUUUGUCUUCGUUCCACAUCGCAACAGAUUUUGUUUUUAAUUUUUUUUAUUAAUUUCCGACGUGUCUCCCUCGGAAGCUGCCACAAACCGUACUAACUUGUACCAACGCGCCUCCGACGGGCCCCCCUUUGAGCGCGUCGAAAAGACCGACAGAAAAUGGAUCGCAGCGCACCCACAAUCGAGCCCGUACAUACUUCACGAAUUUGGCCCGUCUCCUCAGGUCUAUACGAAACUUUACAAAGGAAAGCAGUUUCAAGUUCUUUGGCGAAUUUUUCAUAACCCUUUCUCAAUAGUCCAAAUUUUAUUUUGAAAUUGUGAUUGUCUAUUUGUAGUUUAUCCAAUCACGUCCGAAAACAAUCAUAUUAUUAGGAUUAUUCCCUUUUUUUGUAUUUAAGUGCCUGGAAUCCUCUUCUAAGUACUCUGAUACUUCUUCCAGACAAUUGAGUCACUUGAAGUGCCUGGAACAAUUUUUAAUCUACUCUAACAGCUUGUUACAAGCUUAUAUUUAUUAUCUUUAAAAUAAUAAUUUUUUUCCAAAGAAACCCGUAUAUUUCCCAUUAAUUUAAGGUGGCCGCUAUAGAGAGUAACGUUCAAAUUUGGCGCCGUAUUCGUGAUUUAACUACUAUGGCGCUGCUGUUAAACACUUUUUAACCAGAACAGUUUUAUUUGUGCAGGCUUUGCUGCCAGACAAAGAUUCUUGCAUUUCAGAUAUUCUAACAUAGGAAAGCAGUUUCGAGCUCUUUGGUGAAUUUUUCGAACACAUCCUUUUCUCAUUCCUUGAAUACUUUAAGUUUUAUUUUGAAAUUGUGAUUGUCUAUUGUAGUUUAUCUAAUCACAUCUGAAAACAGUCAUUUUAUUAUGGUUUUUCGCUUAUUUUGUAUCUGCGUCCUGGAUAUAGUGCCUGGAAUCCUCUUCUAAGUACUCUAAUUCUUCUUCCAGGCAAUUGAGUCACUUGAAGUGCCUGGAACAAUUUUUAAUCUACUCUAACAGCUUGUUACAAGCUUAUAUUUAUUAUCUUUAAAAUAAUAUUUUUUUUCCAACGAAACUUGUACAUUUCCCAUUGAUUUAAUGUGACCGCUAUAGAGAGUAACGUUCAAAUUUGGCGCCGUAUCCGUAAUUUAACUACUAUGGCGCUAUGGCGUUAAACACUUUUUAACCAAAACAGUUUUAUUUGUGCAGGCUUUUCUGUCAGACAAAGAUCCUUGCAUUUUAGAUAUUCUAACAUAGGAAAGCAGUUUGGAGCUCUUUGGUGAAUUUUUCGAACACAUCCCUUUCUCAUUCCUUGAAUACUUUAAGUUUUAUUUUGAAAUUGUGAUUGUCUAUUGUAGUUUAUCUAAUCACAUCUGAAAACAGUCAUUUUAUUAUGAUUUUUUGCUUAUUUUAAAUCUGCGUCCUGGAUAUAGUGCCUGGAAUCCUCUUCUAAGUACUCUAAUUCUUCUUCCAGGCAAUUGAGUCACUUGAAGUGCCUGGAACAAUUUUUAAUCUACUCUAACAGCUUGUUACAAGCCUAUAUUCAUUAUCUUUAAAAUAAUAAUUUUUUUUUAAAGAAACCCGUACAUUUCCCAUUAAUUUAAGGUGGCCGCUAUAGAGAGUAACGUUCAAAUUUGGCGCCGUAUCCGUGAUUUAACUACUAUGGCGCUGCUGUUAAACACUUUUUAACCAGAACAGUUUUAUUUGUGCAGGCUUUUCUGUCAGACAAAGAUUCUUGCAUUUCAGAUAUUCUAACAUAGGAAAGCAGUUUCGAGCUCUUUGGUGAAUUUUUCGAACACAUCCCUUUCUCAUUCCUUGAAUACUUUAAGUUUUAUUUUGAAAUUGUGAUUGUCUAUUGUAGUUUAUCUAAUCACAUCUGAAAACAGUCAUUUUAUUAUGAUUUUUUGCUUAUUUUGUAUCUGCGUCUCGGAUAUAGUGCCUGGAAUCCUCUUCUAAGUACUCUAAUUCUUCUUCCAGGCAAUUGAGUCACUUGAAGUGCCUGGAACAAUUUUUAAUCUACUCUAACAGCUUGUUACAAGCUUAUAUUUAUUAUCUUUAAAAUAAUAAUUUUUUUCCAACGAAACUUGUACAUUUCCCAUUAAUUUAAUGUGAACGCUAUAGAGAGUAACGUUCAAAUUUGGCGCCGUAUUCGUGAUUUAACUACUAUGGCGCUGCUGUUAAACACUCUUAACCAGAACAUUUUUAUUUGUACAGGCUUUUCUUUGAGGCAAUUGACAAUUAUGUGAACACUUUUCUUUAAUAAAUAAUAAUUUUUUUUUAAAUUGCCCUACUUUUUCAAAAAUUGCAGAAAUGAAUAUUUUUGCUAAAUGAAAUGUUUCGCAAUAGGUUUGGUCAAUACAAUGACACACCAUUAGUUUUUCAGAUUAAAAUUGAGUUUCUACAUAACAUUCGAUCGAUCAUUCCUAAAAUAAUAAUUUUUUUUAAAGGUUCUCCGCUAAAUACUGUGAUAGUUCUUCCAGGUAAUUCAGACACUUGGAGUGCCUGGAAUAAUUAAUUAUUAAGCUAAUUGUCGUACUCUGAUAGCUUGCCUUAAGUUUAUAUUCAUACUCUUUGAAAUAAUAAAAAUUUUUUAAAGAAAACCGUAGAUUUUCCGCCAUUCUAACGUGGGCGCUAUGGAGAAUAACAUUCAAAUAUGGCGCCACAUACGUGAUUUAACUCAUAUUGCGCCGGAUAGGUGGCACUGCUGUUAUUGUGUCUUAUUUUAAAAGAAAAAGUUCUAUAUGGUAAACCAGUUUAAGAAUUACUGUCAAUCCCCAAGCCUUCAAUUAAACGUGUGAACUUUAAUUAAUUAAUUAGAAAAACAAAACUGUGCCUUUACGGGUUAAAGGGGCAGUUACCAGGGGAGGGUAGAUCAUUAAACAAAUUAAAAACAAAAAAAACAACAAAAAAAUAAUCUGUGAUUUGGAAGGGUUUCUGGGAACCGUUGCCAAACAAACAAAAAAAAUACGAUGAAUUCCAUUAGUUUUUUAAUAUUGAAAUUGUUGAAUGUAAAAUAUAGAAUAAAGAAACCCUUCCAAUGUGCGUAAUUAUAAAUCGUAACGAUUAUAUAAUUAUCGAUUCCUCGUAUGUAUGUGAUAUUUAUCCGUGGGGGCGUAAUUAUUAAUGGACGGCUAAGGAACGAACGGACGGCAUUCCAUAGAGAUUUAUUUUUUUACCGCGUUGCGUUUUGCGACAUACGAUACAUAUCUAACCUUGUAAUUUGUCACAAAAAAAAAAACGUAUAUACAAUGACAUAUCUUGGGAAUGGUAGUUAGUUCGUUAUUUAAUGUAGUUACCGAUGCCUUCUUUGACACGUUUUUUGAGCCUAAUUAUAUUUGCUCUAGACCCAGAUAUACCCAAAGUUUUUCGUUUUAAAUUGUUUCCCCAACAAACAAAAUGGUAUUAGGAUCACAUUAUGUACAUUAGUAAUUUUUAAUUCUCAUCUAAAUACUAACUACUAUAUACACUCAAAAUGGACAAGACGCACACGUUUUAUAUAAUAUAGACUUUUGUGGUUCCAUUUGGCCGAAACCGACGUCCCCCACGGUGCAAAACAAGGCUGUAUGAACUAGUAUGUAAGAAGCAUGAUCGUUAUUUUGUAUGUAAGUUAAUUUAAACUUUUUUUUUCUCAUUUAGUACAAUAAGGAUUUUUCCACGUUACUGUGUAAGGAUUAAAUUACGAUUUUUCAUACCGAGGCCUACGAACUACUAUAUAUAUAUAUUUUUUUUUAAUCGUGAACGCCGAAUAUUACGGUGGGAUUUUUAAUUACUAAGUUACAGCGAAUCGGUAUAGUUUAGAUCUCGCGUGUGUCGUUUCAGAACUUCUUAAUUGAGGAGCGAAAUAUACAAAAGGGUCCUAGCAUGAAACCAGUAUUUCUCUACUUUAUUAUGUCCAGGAUAGGGGUAAAGUGUAAUGAAUAAAAUGUACAAGUUUUGGAGUUUAACUCUUUACUUGGUUAAGAUUAUUUCGUGAUACUGACAUUGAUUGGUUCAGUACAUAAUUUUAAAUUACUCGGAGGUUAACGUCCCUUACCCUUUACUAGCUUAGGGUUCAUUUUUUAAAUUGUACUGACAUCACUAAGGUGAAAGGUCGUUGUUCUACAUCUCUUACUUCCAGAGAGUAAGAGAGGUUGGUUCUGUACCACAAAUUCCUAAUAUGAACGAAGCCAAUCGGAGAUCUCUACAGAGCCUUUCCAGAGAAGUUGGAAUACAAAAUUACCUGGAAAUAUAGAUAAAUCUGGUCCAAAUUUAAGUACAAUCAACCGAGAUCUAUGCACCUAAAAUGUUCAUCAUGUCUUGCAGGUCUUCCUGGACUUAGGACGUUUCCUUUGUCAACUGCCUGGAAGUGCUAGAAAUAUUUGACUAAUGCCAGGCAUUUGAUGGAGUGGAAUUAAAAAAAAACAUGAAAAUUUACUUCAGAAAAUGUUGAAUUGUGUGGAAUUUAAGAGUAAUAGACCAAACUAAGUGAAAAUUACAAAAAUUGAUUCAUUAGACUGAAAUUUUGAUAAAACUGUGCAUUUGUUCACUUAUUCAUGGCUCAAUUGCCUGGAAUAAAAAAAAUAUUCAAUUGCCUAAAAUUCUGAAGGAAUUUAUCCAUGGACAUUCGACUGCCUGGAAUCGGAACGAAAAGUUUAUUGAAUUUUGAAAAAAAUCUGGAAAAAUGCAUUCGAUUGCCUGGAAUUAAAAAAGCAUGGAAAUUUACUUUUAAAAAUUGCUGAUCUACCUAGAAUUAAAUAAAAAAUUCACUGAAUUUUGAAGAAAAAAGCGAUACAAUUAAACCCGCUUUAAAAAUGCUUGACAGUAGAAUCCUAAGCAUAGUUUUGACGAUUUCCAUGCAAAGAUCCGUGGUUCAAAUCCGCUUAAUGUCAUAUUGGACGUUUAUUUUUUUUAGUAUGUUAUUUGGGUUAGAAAGUAGAUGAAGAAUUUGGUUUUAUAAUAUUAAUGUUUAAAAAAAAAAUGCGUUGAAUUAUUUUGCUUAUUGCUUCUCUUCAAAUGCUUUCUUUCCAAGAUACAGGGUGUCGCAAUUAUUAGAUAGUUCCCUGGAAAUUAAGAAAAAUAGUAAUUUUUCCAUGGACAUUCAACUGCCUGGAAUCGAAUGAAAAAUUGACUGAGUUUAAAAAAGAAAUCUUAAUUGGAAUUUGUAAUGGCCUGGAAUUUAAGAAAAAUGGCCUAUACUAGGUUGAAUUAUCAAAAAAUAGUUGAAGUGCCUCAAAAUCUCAUAAAUUUCUAUUUUUUCACUUAUUCAUGGGUCAAUUGCCUGGAAUUAAAAAAAAAAAUUCAAUUCCCUAAAAUUCUGUGGUAAUUUAUCCAUGGAAAUGCAACUGCCUGGAAUCGGAACGAAAAAUUGAUUGAAUUUUGAAAAAAUCUGGAAAAAUGUAUUCGAUUGCCUGGAAAUAAAACAACAUGAAAAUUUCAACAUUUUUGCAUCUAAUUAUUCUUUUUUACUAUAAAUUAAAUUAAUUAUGUAUGAAAAUCUGUAUUUAGAACAGUUUUAUGCAGGGUAGGUCAGAUCUUAGCCAAUAAAAUUUUAACCACGUCCAAGUACUAGUUUAUCAUAUAAACAUAUGCGAGAAAUGCUUUCUCUCCAAGAUACAGGGUGUCGCAAUUAUAAAAUAGUUGCCUGGAGUUUAAGAAAAAUAGAUUGAACUACGUAAAAUUUUAAAAAACUGGAUGCAUCAAUCAGCUUAAAACCUUGACUAAAUUCCGCAUUUUUUCACUUAUUCGUGGCUCAACUGCCUGGAAUAAAUUAAAAAAAACUCGGUUGUCUAGAAUGUUUUAAAAUCAUUUUUCCAUGGACAUUUAAGUGCCUGGAAUCGAAUGAACUGACUGAAUUUUUAAAGAAAUCAGGAUAAACUUAUCCAGUUGCCUGGAAUUUAAGCAAAAGAAUUAUCAAAAAAAUCCUCAAUUGUCUGGGAUCUCAUAAAUUUCAAGAUUCUUCCACUUAUAGAUAUUUUUAAAGGGUUGCAAUUUAAAUGCAAGUAAACGAACAAUUAAAUAAACUACUACUGGAAUUAAAAAAAAAACAAGGAAAUUUACUCCAGAAAAUGUUAAAUUGCGUGGAAUUUAAGAGUAAUAGACCAAACUACGUGAAAAUUACAAAAAUUGAUUCAUUAGACUGAAAUUUUGAUAAAACUCUGCAUUUGUUCACUUAUUCAUGGCUCAAUUGCCUGGAAUAAAAAAAUAUUCAAUUGCCUAAAAUUCUGAAGUAAUUUAUCCAUGGACAUUCGACUGCCUGGAAUCGGAACGAAAAAUUUAUUGAAUUUUGAAAAAAAUCUGGAAAAAUGCAUCCGAUUGCCUGGAAUUAAAAAAGCAUGGAAAUUUACUUUGAAAAAAAUCUUUUGCUGAUCUAUGUACCUAGAAUUUAAUGAAAAAUUCACUAAAUUUUAACAAAAAAAUAAAAAAAGCGAUACAAUUAAACCCACUUUAAAAAUACGUUCCAGUAAGUAUCCUUGUCAUAGUUUUUAUGAUUUCCAUGCAAAGGAUCCGUGGUUCAAAUCCGCUUAAUGUCAUAUUGGACGUUUAUUUUUUUUAGUAUGUUAUUUGGGUUAGAAAGAAGAUGAAGAAUUUGGUUUUAUAAUAUUAAUGUUUAAAAAAAAUGCGUUGAAUUAUUUUGCUUGUUGCUUCUCUUCAAAUGCUUUCUCUCCAAGAUACAGGGUGUCGCAAUUAUUAGAUAGUUCCCUGGAAUUUUAGAAAAAUGGCCUAUACUACGUUGAAUUAUCAAAAAAUAGUUGAAGUGCCUCAAAAUCUCAUAAAUUUCUAUUUUUUUACUUAUUCAUGGCUCAAUUGCCUUGAAUUAAAAAAAAAUUCAAUUCCCUAAAAUUCUGAGGUAAUUUAUUCAUGGAAAUUGAACUGCCUGGAAUUGAACGAAAAAUUGAUUGAAUUUUGAAAAAAAUCUGGAAAAAUGUAUUUUUGCAAUGAAUUAUUCUUUUUUACUAUAAAUUAAAUUAAUUAUGUAUGAAAAUCUGUAUUUAGAACAGUUUUAUGCAGGGUGGGUCAGAUCUUAGCCAAUAAAAUUUUAACCACGUCCAAGUACUAGUUUAUCAUAUAAACGUAUGUGAGAAAUGCUUUCUCUCCAAGAUACAGGGUAUUCCAAUUAUUAGUUAGUUCCCUGGAAUUUAAGAAAAAUAGUAAUUUUUCCAUGGACAUUUAACUGCCUGGAAUGGAAAGAAAAAUUGACUGAAUUUAAAAAAGAAAUCCUAAUUGGAAUUAAGAAUGGCCUGGAAUUUAAAGAAAAUGACCUAUACUAGGCUGAAUUAUCAAAAAAUAGUCGAAGUGCCUGAAAUCUCAUAAAUUUCUAGAUUUUUUCAUUUUUUUCAAGGCUCAAUUGCCUAGAAUUAAAAAAAAAAUCAAUUCCCUAAAAUUCUCUGGUAAUUUAUCCAUGGAAAUUCAACUGCCUGGAAUCGGAACGAAAAAUUGAUUGAAUUUUGCAAAAAAUCUGGAAAAACGUAUUCGAUUGCCUGGAAAUAAAACAACAUGGAAAUUUCAACAUUUUUGCAUCGAAUUAUUCUUUUUUACUAUAAAUUAAAUUAAUUAUGUAUGAAAAUCUGUAUUUAGAACAGUUUUAUGCAGAGUGGGUCAGAUCUUAGCCAAUAAAAUUUUAACCACGUCCAAGUACUAGUUUAUCAUAUAAAAAUAUGUGAGAAAUGCUUUCUCUCCAAGAUACAGGGUAUUCCAAUUAUUAGUUAGUUCCCUGGGAUUUAAGAAAAAUAGUAAUUUUUCCAUGGACAUUUAACUGCCUGAAAUCGAAUGAAAAAUUUACUGAAUUUAAAAAAGAAAUCUUAAUUGGAAUUUACAAUGGCCUGGAAUUUAAGAAAAAUGGCUUAUACUACGUUGAAUUAUCAAAAAAUAGUUGAAGUGCCUCAAAAUCUCAUAAAUUUCAAUUUUUUCACUUAAUUCAUGACUCAAUUGCCUGGAAUUAAAAAAAAAUUCAAUUCCUUAAGAUUCUGAAGUAAUUUAUCCAUGGAAAUAGAAUUGCCUGGAAUCGGAACGAAAAAUUGAUUGAAUUUUGCAAAAAAUCUGGAAAAACGUAUUCGAUUGCCUGGAAAUAAAACAACAUGGAAAUUUCAAAAUUUUUGCAUCGAAUUAUUCUUUUUUACUAUAAAUUAAAUUAAUUAUGUAUUAAAAUCUGUGUUGGAGGGGUUUGAAUCACUGGAUUUCGAAGGACCACUUGCCCUCUCACACAACUUAAUUAUGAUGUUGACUGUUUAAUUAUAGACAUUGAUUUGUUUGAUAAUUUUAUUAAUGCUACUAAACGUAAACUUUAAUCGAUUAUAUUGUUACUUUGCUUGCAGACAGACAUGUUCUAUGAUAAUAAUGUACUUCUCCCUCUCCCACUCGCCGUCUUGGAGCUCUCCUCGCAUCGGUACAAAGUAAAAUUUAAAUGAAAUUUUAUACAGGGCUUAACAAUCUGUAUUUAGAACAGUUUUAUACAGAUCUUAACCAAGAAAUUUUAACUCAACUGCCUGGAAUAAAUAAAAAACUCAGUUGCCUGGAAUCGAAUGAAAAAUUGACUGAAUUUUCAAAGAAAUCAGAAAAACCUUAUCCAAUUGCCUGGAAUUUAAGAAAAAAAAUUAUCAAAAAAUCCUCAAUUGUCUGGAAUCUCAUUAAUUUCAAGAUUCCUCCACUUAUAGAUAUUUUUAAAGCGUUGCAAUCUAAAUGCAAAAAAACGAACAAUUAAAGAAACUACUUGGUGGUGCGAGGCCUCUGGCCACGCACAAGUCGGUUCUAGUACAAAUAUUCAAAUAGGACAAAGUUCUGUGAAUAUUUUGUACUAAUUAUCAGCCAUUGUAUAACACAACUGUACUAAAAAGACAUUUACUUCACGCAUUUUUUCCUUGAAGUUCCAAAUUAUUAAACAGCAGCAUUUUCGUUUCGAGGGCGCCACUUUAGUACUUCAAUAGUUCCCUUUUGUAUAUCUCGCUCUUCGAUUAAUUUACCGUAAUAGUACCAACUGUGAUAGUUCUAAGGGCCGCGAUAAUUUUAACCAUCUCACUUAUGUUUAAAAAAAAAAACCCACUGUAAUUACUACUUAAAUUACAAAUAAACAAACAGUGCGUGAUAUUGGAGAAUUUCAGACCCUCGAAAAGGUUUAUGCAUUAUUUUGCUUGUGUGUUUCAGUUUGUCAGUGCCAUGAUUGUUGUUACAUAAGCGCUAAAGAGUCCGUUUUACAAAUGUUUGUAGACGAACAUUCGUUAAACGGGCCGGGCGAGCUUGACGAGCCGAUGUUUGACAAUAGUUCGUUUUAUACAGUGUGAAAAUGAAGACUGAUGAUCCCUUAUGAUAGUGUAUAAGUUUAUAGCUCAAAUGGCCGGUUGCAAGUGGCUGCAUCCAGUAAGUACUGUGCUGUGCGCGGCUGUAUUCCAACAUUUAUAUUCUUUUUGCUCUUUUAGGUUUAUUAUCAUUAUUGUAUCACUUUAUCUUCGGCGAGUGUUCUUUCCUUUUUUUUUUCUAACGGGAUAUUCUGUUUUGUUUUAUUUAAAGUACACGAGUCAAGCAGAAUGUCCUUGGGACACUUUAAUGUCUAUCGGUUGUUUUUUUUCCAUUUCCCUAAAACGGUUUCGUUUUAUAGCGUCAUUAACGGUUUAUUGUAAAUUUUUGUUUACCGCGGAUUAAAUUUUUUUGUGGAUAUUUUUUUGUAGUUAUCAUAUCAGGAACAAUAAACGUAUUUCAUUUA